Molecule: long non-coding RNA, 576 nt
Organism: Homo sapiens (human)
Lineage: Eukaryota; Metazoa; Chordata; Mammalia; Primates; Hominidae
Gene: SNHG30
Product: small nucleolar RNA host gene 30
Source: Ensembl
GCUAGGCUGUAAGACCUGAGCCGGGCGGAGAAGCAAAGGAGAGGGAAGCUGGAAGCACCUUUGGCCCGGGACAGAAAUCUGGAGAGCUUGGCUACCUCCAUCCUCCUCAGGCCGGAGCAGGCUUCCUGAGAGAGUCCAGGUUGAGAUGAAAACUCUUGCUUUGAAUUCUUCAUGGAGGACUACAUCAUUUCAAUCCUGAAUCUGGCUCAAUUCUAUUAUUCACUUAUUACUGUAUUAAAAACGUUUAAUUGGCCAGGCACAGUGGUUCACGCCUGUAAUCCCAGCACUUUGGGAGGCCAAGGCAGGCGGAUCACUUGAGGUCAGGAGUUCGACACCAGCCUGGCCAACAUGGCAAAACCCCGCCUCUACUAAAAAUACAAAAAUUAGCCAGGCGUGGUGGCACGCACCUGUAAUCACAGCUACUUAGGAGGCUGAGGUGGCAGAAUUGUUUGAACCCAGGAGGUGGAGGUUGCAGUGAGCCGAGAUCACACCACUGCACUCAAGCCUUGGCAUCAGAGUGAGACUCUGUCUCAGUAAAAAAAAAAUAAAUAAAUAAAAAUGUUUAAUUAACCAUGA